AUGGACAUCGAGAGAAGCAGCAGCGACGCCGCAAGGGACUCAUCGCAGGCCGGCCUGGAGACCGUGGAGAGGCGGCGGCGCCUUCCAGGCCGCCCCAAGAGCUUCGUGCCAGCGGUCUGCGUCCUGGCCGCGACCGUGCUCGCAGUUGUCGUCUUCUCCGCCGACUCGCCCUGGUCCUUCGUGCAAGAUGCACCUCCAUCUGACCUCACCGCCGACCAGCUCCUCGACGGCCUGCUCACCGCAGAAUUCAGCAAGCGGUCGUGUCGGAGCCGGUACGAGUUCGCCAGCUACCACGAGAAGAAGAAGAACACAUCGCAUAAACCAUCCCCCUACUUACUUGGCAAGCUCCGGAGGCACGAAGCCCUACAGAAGCGGUGCGGCCCUGGCACAGCCCCGUAUAGGGCGGCGGUCUGGCAGCUCAAGUCCGGUAAGGGCGCUGCCGCCACGGACUGCCGCUACCUCGUUUCCAUCAGCUACCGCGGCCUCGGCAACCGAAUGCUCGCCACCGCUUCGGCCUUCCUCUACGCCGUGCUCACGGACCGUGUCCUCCUCGUCCACCAGUACAAGCAUGAUGUCAGCGCCCUCUUCUGCGAGCCCUUCCCUGGGACGACGUGGCUGCUACCCUCUGGCUGGAGUUUCCCUUUGGGGCACCUCAGGGACUACGGCAUCGGCUCCAAAGAGAGCCUCGGCAACAUGCUAAAAGCCAACGUCAUCUCCGUGGGUGCCGACGGGAACGCGUCGUGGUCGGACGGCGGUGAUCACCGGCCACCGUUCGUCUACCUGCACCUCGAGGGCGGCUACGACUUCCACGACAAGCUCUUCUACUGCGGCGAGCAUCAGCGGCUCCUCCACGGCGCGCCGUGGUUGCUGAUGAAGACGGAUAGCUACCUCGUCCCGGGGCUCUUCCUCGUCCCGUCAUUCCAGGACGAGUUGGGCAAGAUGUUCCCGGAGAAGGACAUGGCGUUCUACCACCUCGGACGGUACUUGUUCCACCCGGUUAACGACGUCUGGCGCGCAGUCACCAGUUACUACCGCACCAACCUCGCGGGCGUUGGCCAGCGUGUCGGCAUACAGAUCCGGGUGUUCCAGAAGAAGCCGACGCCGCUACAAUACAUACUGGACCAGGUCCUCUCAUGCGUCCGCAGGGAGAAGCUUCUCCCGGAGAUCACAUCGUCGUCCAUGAUCAACGCAUCCGACCAGGUUAUCCUGGUCACUUCUCUGAGCGCGUGGUACUAUGAGAGGAUCAGGGAAGAGUACGGCGGAGGCAGGAUCACCGGCGGCGUGCACCAGCCGAGUCACGAGGGGCGGCAGAAGUGGGGGGACACGUCCCACGACAGGAGGGCGCUGAGCGAGAUGUACCUGCUCAGCACCUGCGACAUGCUCGUCACCACCGGCUUCUCGACGUUCGGGUACGUCGCGCAGGGACUUGGCGGGAUACGACCGUGGAUCAUGCCCAGCACACCCAUCUGGUCCGAGCCCGACAUGGCCGAGACAAAGGAGGUGCCGGAACCACCGUGUGUGCGAGCGAUGUCCGUCGAGCCGUGCUUCCACUCACCGUCCUACUACGACUGCACGGCGAGGAGGGACGUGGAUGUGGGGAAGGUGGUUCCGUACGUGCGGCACUGUGAGGACGUGAGCUGGGGGAUCAAGAUUGCCAACCAAAGCAGCUAG
RNAcentral lists this ribosomal RNA (1671 nucleotides) under Triticum aestivum (bread wheat). Its description in RNAcentral is "partial small subunit ribosomal RNA". Lineage: Eukaryota; Viridiplantae; Streptophyta; Magnoliopsida; Poales; Poaceae. The record is from RNAcentral.